Molecule: ribosomal RNA, 253 nt
Filed under: uncultured bacterium
Lineage: Bacteria
Description: partial 16S ribosomal RNA
Rfam family: Bacterial small subunit ribosomal RNA
Source: RNAcentral
GACGGAGGGUGCGAGCGUUGUCCGGAAUUAUUGGGCGUAAAGGGCUCGUAGGCGGUUUGUCGCGUCGGGAGUGAAAACUCAGGGCUUAACCCUGAGCCUGCUUCCGAUACGGGCAGACUAGAGGUAUGCAGGGGAGAACGGAAUUCCUGGUGUAGCGGUGAAAUGCGCAGAUAUCAGGAGGAACACCGAUGGCGAAGGCAGGUCUCUGGGCAUUAACUGACGCUGAGGAGCGAAAGCAUGGGGAGCGAACAGG